This 430-nucleotide ribosomal RNA is filed under the name uncultured archaeon. RNAcentral's name for it is "bacterial SSU rRNA". It matches the Rfam family "Archaeal small subunit ribosomal RNA", at positions 474 to 903 of the family's 1478-position model. The record is from RNAcentral.
UACCUGCAGCUCGAGUGGUAACCGCUAUUAUUGGGCCUAAAGCGUCCGUAGCCGGUUUGGUAAAUAUCUGGGUAAAUCGUGAGGCUUAACUUCACGAAUUUCGGAUAGACUGCCAGACUUGGGAUCGGGGGAGGUCAGAGGUACUCCAGGGGUAGCGGUGAAAUGUUGUAAUCCUUGGAGGACCACCGGUAGCGAAGGCGUCUGACUAGAACGAGUCCGACGGUGAGGGACGAAGCCCUGGGGCGCAAACCGGAUUAGAUACCCGGGUAGUCCAGGGUGUAACGAUGUGGGCUUUGUAUUGGAGGUCCCACGUGGGCGUCCAGUGCAGAAGAGAAGUUGUUAAGCCCACCGCUUGGGAAGUACGGUCGCAAGGCUAGAAACUUAAAGGAAUUGGCGAGGGAGCACAGCGAACGGGAGGAGCGUGCGGUUU